Molecule: ribosomal RNA, 253 nt
Filed under: uncultured bacterium
Lineage: Bacteria
Description: partial 16S ribosomal RNA
Rfam family: Bacterial small subunit ribosomal RNA
Source: RNAcentral
UACAGAGGGUGCGAGCGUUGUUCGGAUUCAUUGGGCGUAAAGGGUGCGUAGGCGGCGCGGUAAGUCGGGUGUGAAAUCUUGGAGCUUAACUCCGAAACUGCAUUCGAUACUGCCGUGCUUGAGGACUGGAGAGGAGACUGGAAUUUACGGUGUAGCGGUGAAAUGCGUAGAUAUCGUAAGGAAGACCAGUGGCGAAGGCGGGUCUCUGGACAGUUCCUGACGCUGAGGCACGAAGGCCAGGGGAGCAAACGGG